Molecule: ribosomal RNA, 855 nt
Filed under: Sarocladium kiliense
Lineage: Eukaryota; Fungi; Ascomycota; Sordariomycetes; Hypocreales; Sarocladiaceae
Description: LSU rRNA
Rfam family: Eukaryotic large subunit ribosomal RNA
Source: RNAcentral
UAGCAUAUCAAUAAGCGGAGGAAAAGAAACCAACAGGGAUUGCCUCAGUAACGGCGAGUGAAGCGGCAACAGCUCAAAUUUGAAAUCUGGCCGCAAGGUCCGAGUUGUAAUUUGUAGAGGAUGCUUUUGGCGAGGUGCCUUCCGAGUUUCCCUGGAACGGGACGCCAUAGAGGGUGAGAGCCCCGUACGGUAGGACCACCAAGCCUCUGUAAAGCUCCUUCGACGAGUCGAGUAGUUUGGGAAUGCUGCUCUAAAUGGGAGGUGUACGUCUUCUAAAGCUAAAUACCGGCCAGAGACCGAUAGCGCACAAGUAGAGUGAUCGAAAGAUGAAAAGCACUUUGAAAAGAGGGUUAAAAAGUACGUGAAAUUGUUGAAAGGGAAGCAUUCAUGACCAGACUUGGGCUUGGUUGAACAUCCGGCGUUCUCGCCGGUGCACUCUGCCAGUCCAGGCCAGCAUCAGUUUGCCCCGGGGGAUAAAGGCGGCGGGAAUGUGGCUCCCUUCGGGGAGUGUUAUAGCCCGUCGUGUAAUGCCCUGGGGCGGACUGAGGAACGCGCUUCGGCACGGAUGCUGGCGUAAUGGUCAUCAAUGACCCGUCUUGAAACACGGACCAAGGAGUCGUCUUCGUAUGCGAGUGUUCGGGUGUCAAACCCCUACGCGUAAUGAAAGUGAACGUAGGUGAGAGCUUCGGCGCAUCACCGACCGAUCCUGAUGUUCUCGGAUGGAUUUGAGUAAGAGCAUACGGGGCCGGACCCGAAAGAAGGUGAACUAUGCCUGUAUAGGGUGAAGCCAGAGGAAACUCUGGUGGAGGCUCGCAGCGGUUUCUGACGUGCAAAUCGAUCGUCAAAUAUGGGCAU